AUUAGGCUCUCACAGAUUGCGUAUUCUGUGGUGCAACAAUCACAAACUGCUUUCAUGCCGGACAGAAACAUCCUUGAAGGGGUGGUUGUCCUCCAUGAAACGCUCCAUGAAAUUCACUCCAAAAAAUUAGAUGGGUUAAUUUUUAAGGUGGAUUUCGAAAAAGCGUAUGAUAAGGUCAAGUGGCCGUUUCUCCAACAGGCUCUGCAUAUGAAAGGUUUCGACGAGACAUGGCGCCGGCAAGUCGAAUCAUUUACGCAAAAAGGAAGUGUGGGAAUUAGAGUGAAUGACGAUAUAGGUCAUUAUUUCCAGACUCAUAAAGGCCUCAGGCAAGGAGAUCCAAUGUCCCCUAUCCUGUUUAACAUUGUGGUGGAUAUGUUAGCAAUGUUGAUAGGAAGGGCUAAGGACAAUGGUCAAGUGGGUGGUUUGGUUCCUCAUCUUGUUGAUGGAGGUGUAUCCAUCCUUCAAUACGCAGAUGAUACA
RNAcentral lists this ribosomal RNA (480 nucleotides) under Triticum aestivum (bread wheat). RNAcentral describes it as "partial small subunit ribosomal RNA". Lineage: Eukaryota; Viridiplantae; Streptophyta; Magnoliopsida; Poales; Poaceae. The record is from RNAcentral.